Molecule: ribosomal RNA, 801 nt
Filed under: Brevibacterium sp.
Lineage: Bacteria; Bacillati; Actinomycetota; Actinomycetes; Micrococcales; Brevibacteriaceae
Description: bacterial SSU rRNA
Rfam family: Bacterial small subunit ribosomal RNA
Source: RNAcentral
UGCAAGUCGAACGCUGAAGCCGACAGCUUGCUGUUGGUGGAUGAGUGGCGAACGGGUGAGUAACACGUGAGUAACCUGCCCCUGAUUUCGGGAUAAGCCUGGGAAACUGGGUCUAAUACCGGAUACGACCAAUCCUCGCAUGAGGGUUGGUGGAAAGUUUUUCGAUCGGGGAUGGGCUCGCGGCCUAUCAGCUUGUUGGUGGGGUAAUGGCCUACCAAGGCGACGACGGGUAGCCGGCCUGAGAGGGCGACCGGCCACACUGGGACUGAGACACGGCCCAGACUCCUACGGGAGGCAGCAGUGGGGAAUAUUGCACAAUGGGGGAAACCCUGAUGCAGCGACGCAGCGUGCGGGAUGACGGCCUUCGGGUUGUAAACCGCUUUCAGCAGGGAAGAAGCGAAAGUGACGGUACCUGCAGAAGAAGUACCGGCUAACUACGUGCCAGCAGCCGCGGUAAUACGUAGGGUACGAGCGUUGUCCGGAAUUAUUGGGCGUAAAGAGCUCGUAGGUGGUUGGUCACGUCUGCUGUGGAAACGCAACGCUUAACGUUGCGCGUGCAGUGGGUACGGGCUGACUAGAGUGCAGUAGGGGAGUCUGGAAUUCCUGGUGUAGCGGUGAAAUGCGCAGAUAUCAGGAGGAACACCGGUGGCGAAGGCGGGACUCUGGGCUGUAACUGACACUGAGGAGCGAAAGCAUGGGGAGCGAACAGGAUUAGAUACCCUGGUAGUCCAUGCCGUAAACGUUGGGCACUAGGUGUGGGGGACAUUCCACGUUCUCCGCGCCGUAGCUAACGCAUUAAGU